Molecule: non-coding RNA, 862 nt
Organism: Peromyscus maniculatus bairdii (prairie deer mouse)
Lineage: Eukaryota; Metazoa; Chordata; Mammalia; Rodentia; Cricetidae
Source: RefSeq, a predicted model, not a curated record
GCAGGCCAUGAUCGAGGGGCAGGGCCUGGGAUCUACCCCGCCCCGAGGGCGGGCCCUGGAGGCGGAGGCUGAAUAGCGGAGCCUGGGCUCUCCAGGCCCAGUUCUUAGAUCCCGAGAGUCUGGGCCCCAUCUGCUUUGUCUGGACGGCCCUGGCGGGAGUGCCUGAAGCUGAAGGCCUAGGAGCUUUGGCCCUAGACCCCCCUCGGCUCCGCCCCAUAGGCGGGAGAAACUAGACUUGGGCUGCGACCAGCAUUGCUAGUGGCUCAGUCCCAGGAAGUGGAUAGCUGACUUGUAGGCUUUCCCUUGCACCGGGGAAGGCUGUCUCUCAUGUGGCGCAGAGUGUGAUGUGUAACUGUCUGACUGGUGCAGGGAGUCCGAAGAAGACAGGCAUCCUUUCCCACCUUUCUUUAAAAAGCUUGACGGUAGAAGUCCAUCCCUGAGGUGACAGGCAGGAAUCUGAAGGACCACCUGCCUAGGGCAGCUACAGUGGGCUGCUCCCUACCACCACAUUGAUCAUUAAUCAAGAAAAUGCUCCCACAGCCUCGUCUAAAGACCAGUGUGAUGGAGGCUUUUUCUCUCUUGAGAUUCCCUCUUCCCAGAUGAACCUCGCUUGUGUCCAGUUAACAAAAAACUAACUAGCACAGUUGGAGGCCUGUGAAGCUAGAAGGAUUGCCUCUUUCUGUUCUACACUGAUGUUGUAGAAUAUUAAUGUGUUAAAUUUGUUUAUGCUAUGGAACAUUUAUUUAAUGGUGCAAGGAUGUAUUGUAUACUUGUAUGUUUCAUUUGUUUAACUCUGUGAAGCUGUGUUACUUUGCCUGUCUAAAAUACCUAAUUGGUCUAAUAAAGAGCUGAAUGGCCAGUA